CCCUUAGAUGUUCUGGGCCGCACGCGUGCUACACUGAUACAUUCAACGAGUCUAAAACCUGGUCUGAUAGGGCUGGGUAAUCUUUUGAAAGUGCAUCGUGAUUGGGAUAGAUGAUUGCAAUUCUUCAUCUUCAACGAGGAAUGCCUAGUAAACGCAAGUCAUCAGCUUGCAUUGAUUACGUCCCUGCCCUUUGUACACACCGCCCGUCGCUCCUACCGAUUGAAUGAUCCGAUGAAUACCAUGGAUUGAGAGUACGAAUAGGUUCGCUUAUUUCUGCUGCUCGAGAAGUGGAGUAAAUCUUAUCAUUUAGAGGAAGGAGAAGUCGUAACA
RNAcentral lists this ribosomal RNA (330 nucleotides) under uncultured eukaryote. Its description in RNAcentral is "partial 18S ribosomal RNA". It matches the Rfam family "Eukaryotic small subunit ribosomal RNA", at positions 1470 to 1796 of the family's 1831-position model. The record is from RNAcentral.